RNAcentral lists this transfer RNA (73 nucleotides) under Ameiurus melas (black bullhead). It matches the Rfam family "tRNA". From Rfam's summary of the family: Transfer RNA (tRNA) molecules are approximately 80 nucleotides in length. Their secondary structure includes four short double-helical elements and three loops (D, anti-codon, and T loops). The record is from Rfam by way of RNAcentral. Lineage: Eukaryota; Metazoa; Chordata; Actinopteri; Siluriformes; Ictaluridae.
GGUUCUAUAGUGUAUUGGUCAUCACGUCUGCUUUACACGCAGAAAGUCCUGGGUUCAAUCCCCUCUAGAACCA